CCUACGGGAGGCUGCAGUGAGGAAUAUUGGUCAAUGGACGAGAGUCUGAACCAGCCAAGUAGCGUGAAGGAUGACUGCCCUAUGGGUUGUAAACUUCUUUUAUAUGGGAAUAAAAUGUUCCACGUGUGGGAUUUUGUAUGUACCAUAUGAAUAAGGAUCGGCUAACUCCGUGCCAGCAGCCGCGGUAAUACGGAGGAUCCGAGCGUUAUCCGGAUUUAUUGGGUUUAAAGGGAGCGUAGGUGGAUUGUUAAGUCAGUUGUGAAAGUUUGCGGCUCAACCGUAAGAUUGCAGUUGAAACUGGCAGUCUUGAGUACAGUAGAGGUGGGCGGAAUUCGUGGUGUAGCGGUGAAAUGCUUAGAUAUCACGAAGAACUCCGAUUGCGAAGGCAGUUCACUGGACUGCAACUGACACUGAGGCUCGAAAGUGUGGGUAUCAAACAGGAUUAGAUACCCGAGUAGUC
RNAcentral lists this ribosomal RNA (460 nucleotides) under uncultured bacterium. Its description in RNAcentral is "partial 16S ribosomal RNA". It matches the Rfam family "Bacterial small subunit ribosomal RNA", at positions 338 to 795 of the family's 1533-position model. The record is from RNAcentral.